Molecule: ribosomal RNA, 538 nt
Filed under: uncultured bacterium
Lineage: Bacteria
Description: bacterial SSU rRNA
Rfam family: Bacterial small subunit ribosomal RNA
Source: RNAcentral
AGAGUUUGAUCCUGGCUCAGGAUGAACGCUGGCGGCGUGCCUAACACAUGCAAGUCGAACGGACUUACACAGAAGCAGGAGAUGCUUGCAUUGACUAACGGAAGUGUAAGUUAGUGGCGGACGGGUGAGUAACGCGUGGGCAACCUGCCCCAUACCGGGGGAUAACACCUGGAAACAGGUGCUAAAACCGCAUAAGCGCACAGCUUCGCAUGAAGGUGUGUGAAAAACUCCGGUGGUAUGGGAUGGGCCCGCGUCUGAUUAGCUGGUUGGCGGGGUAACGGCCCACCAAGGCAACGAUCAGUAGCCGGCCUGAGAGGGUGGACGGCCACAUUGGGACUGAGACACGGCCCAAACUCCUACGGGAGGCAGCAGUGGGGAAUAUUGGACAAUGGGGGAAACCCUGAUCCAGCGACGCCGCGUGAGUGAAGAAGUAUUUCGGUACGUAAAGCUCUAUCAGCAGGAAAGAAAAUGACGGUACCUGACUAAGAAGCCCCGGCUAACUACGUGCCAGCAGCCGCGGUAAUACGUAGGGGGCAAG